RNAcentral lists this ribosomal RNA (611 nucleotides) under Leucosporidium scottii. Its description in RNAcentral is "eukaryotic LSU rRNA". The stretch from base 184 to 337 matches the Rfam family "5.8S ribosomal RNA". The record is from RNAcentral. Lineage: Eukaryota; Fungi; Basidiomycota; Microbotryomycetes; Leucosporidiales; Leucosporidiaceae.
UCCCGUAGGGGAAACCCUGCGGAAGGAUCAUUAGUGAAUAUUAGCGCAUCUACUUGUAGAGCGUGACCUCCACUUUCUAACUCUGUGCAUUUAUUGGCGGAAGGACUUGAGCAAUUGAGUUUCCUUCUGCGGCUCAUUUUAAAACACUAGUUAAAGUAUGUAACGAAAUAUCGAAACAAAAAAAACUUUCAACAACGGAUCUCUUGGCUUGCUCAUCGAUGAAGAACGCAGCGAAAUGUGAUAAGUAAUGUGAAUUGCAGAAUUCAGUGAAUCAUCGAAUCUUUGAACGCACCUUGCGCUCUCUGGUAUUCCGGAGAGCAUGUCUGUUUGAGUGUCAUGAACUCUUCAACCCACCAGUUUCUUGUAGACUGAAUGGUGUUUGGUUUUUGAGCGUUGCUGGUCUUCGGAUCUAGCUCGUUCGUAAUAUAUUAGCAUCUCUAAUUCGAACUCGGAUUGACUCAGUGUAAUAGACUAUUCGCUGAGGACACGCUCUUGUAGUGUGGCCGAAUGAGAUCUCAGUAGAAGCUUCCAACUACUUUAGUCAACUUUAGAUUAGACCUCAGAUCAGGCAGGAUUACCCGCUGAACUUAAGCAUAUCAAUAAGCGGAGGA